CGAACGGUAACAGAAAGCAGCUUGCUGCUUUGCUGACGAGUGGCGGACGGGUGAGUAAUGUCUGGGAAACUGCCUGAUGGAGGGGGAUAACUACUGGAAACGGUGGCUAAUACCGCAUAACGUCGCAAGACCAAAGAGGGGGACCUUCGGGCCUCUUGCCAUCAGAUGUGCCCAGAUGGGAUUAGCUAGUUGGUGAGGUAACGGCUCACCAAGGCGACGAUCCCUAGCUGGUCUGAGAGGAUGACCAGCCACACUGGAACUGAGACACGGUCCAGACUCCUACGGGAGGCAGCAGUGGGGAAUAUUGCACAAUGGGCGCAAGCCUGAUGCAGCCAUGCCGCGUGUAUGAAGAAGGCCUUCGGGUUGUAAAGUACUUUCAGCGGGGAGGAAGGUGUUGUGGUUAAUAACCGCAGCAAUUGACGUUACCCGCAGAAGAAGCACCGGCUAACUCCGUGCCAGCAGCCGCGGUAAUACGGAGGGUGCAAGCGUUAAUCGGAAUUACUGGGCGUAAAGCGCACGCAGGCGGUCUGUCAAGUCGGAUGUGAAAUCCCCGGGCUCAACCUGGGAACUGCAUUCGAAACUGGCAGGCUUGAGUCUUGUAGAGGGGGGUAGAAUUCCAGGUGUAGCGGUGAAAUGCGUAGAGAUCUGGAGGAAUACCGGUGGCGAAGGCGGCCCCCUGGACAAAGACUGACGCUCAGGUGCGAAAGCGUGGGGAGCAAACAGGAUUAGAUACCCUGGUAGUCCACGCCGUAAACGAUGUCUACUUGGAGGUUGUGCCCUUGAGGCGUGGCUUCCGGAGCUAACGCGUUAAGUAGACCGCCUGGGGAGUACGGCCGCAAGGUUAAAACUCAAAUGAAUUGACGGGGGCCCGCACAAGCGGUGGAGCAUGUGGUUUAAUUCGAUGCAACGCGAAGAACCUUACCUGGUCUUGACAUCCACGGAAGUUUUCAGAGAUGAGAAUGUGCCUUCGGGAACCGUGAGACAGGUGCUGCAUGGCUGUCGUCAGCUCGUGUUGUGAAAUGUUGGGUUAAGUCCCGCAACGAGCGCAACCC
This 1052-nucleotide ribosomal RNA is filed under the name Salmonella enterica subsp. enterica. RNAcentral describes it as "bacterial SSU rRNA". It matches the Rfam family "Bacterial small subunit ribosomal RNA", at positions 63 to 1104 of the family's 1533-position model. The record is from RNAcentral. Lineage: Bacteria; Pseudomonadati; Pseudomonadota; Gammaproteobacteria; Enterobacterales; Enterobacteriaceae.